AGAGUUUGAUCAUGGCUCAGGACGAACGCUGGCGGCGUGCUUAACACAUGCAAGUCGAACGGUAAGGCCCUUUCGGGGGUACACGAGUGGCGAACGGGUGAGUAACACGUGGGUGAUCUGCCCUGCACUUUGGGAUAAGCCUGGGAAACUGGGUCUAAUACCGAAUACACCUUGCUGGUCGCAUGGCCUGGUGGGGGAAAGCUUUUGCGGUGUGGGAUGGGCCCGCGGCCUAUCAGCUUGUUGGUGGGGUGAUGGCCUACCAAGGCGACGACGGGUAGCCGGCCUGAGAGGGUGUCCGGCCACACUGGGACUGAGAUACGGCCCAGACUCCUACGGGAGGCAGCAGUGGGGAAUAUUGCACAAUGGGCGCAAGCCUGAUGCAGCGACGCCGCGUGAGGGAUGACGGCCUUCGGGUUGUAAACCUCUUUCAGUACCGACGAAGCGGAAGUGACGGUAGGUACAGAAGAAGCACCGGCCAACUACGUGCCAGCCGCCGCGGUAAUUC
This 505-nucleotide ribosomal RNA is filed under the name uncultured bacterium. RNAcentral describes it as "bacterial SSU rRNA". It matches the Rfam family "Bacterial small subunit ribosomal RNA", at positions 8 to 526 of the family's 1533-position model. The record is from RNAcentral.